UACGGGGGGAGCAAGCGUUGUUCGGAUUUACUGGGCGUAAAGGGCGCGUAGGCGGCCACUGCAAGUCAGUUGUGAAAUCUCCGGGCUUAACUCGGAAAGGUCAACUGAUACUGCAGGGCUAGAGUGCAGAAGGGGCAACUGGAAUUCUCGGUGUAGCGGUGAAAUGCGUAGAUAUCGAGUGGAACACCGGUGGCGAAGGCGGCCUUCUGGACAGAAACUGACGCUGAGACGCGAAAGCGUGGGGAGCAAACAGG
RNAcentral lists this ribosomal RNA (254 nucleotides) under uncultured bacterium. Its description in RNAcentral is "partial 16S ribosomal RNA". It matches the Rfam family "Bacterial small subunit ribosomal RNA", at positions 524 to 776 of the family's 1533-position model. The record is from RNAcentral.